Brassica rapa (field mustard) is the source of this 1120-nucleotide RNA transcript. RefSeq lists it as uncharacterized. Lineage: Eukaryota; Viridiplantae; Streptophyta; Magnoliopsida; Brassicales; Brassicaceae. The record is from RefSeq and is a predicted model, not a curated record.
UAUUAAGAUCCUGAAAGAAAGUUUCCUCCGAUCAGAGAUCAUCUAUGUACCAAGGACGCAAAAUACAAAGGCGGAUAAUCUAACAUGCAGUGUCUGGAAACAACCGUUUUUCAUCGUUCACAUAGAUCAAUAUCUACCGGUUUGGUUCAUAUAGUCAGUAUGAGUCUGUAUAAGCUGAUGGAAAAAAAAACUUCAGUUAGAGAGUACCAUAAGGCAUAAACUUCCUUAAUUUAUCUAUUUAUGCCAUUACUAUGGUUUAUUACUUAUUUAUACAACUCAUUCUUUUUAUUCAUUUCAUCAAUGAUAUCACCAAUAUACACACAAUUGCAUAUACUAUAGUGUGAACAAAACAAAAUCAUGAAAAUAUUAACAAAAAUGAAUAAUUCAAUAAAAUAAAACAAUACAAAAAAAACAUGCCACGUUCCCCGAUUUAAGUAUAUCCUCCUCUCCCCCUCCUUCCCUCAAUCUCUCUCUCUCACAUCCCUUUAUUGUUGGUUCGAUAAAAGUCUCGCAUACUCUUUAGAUUUUUCCUUACGAAAAUAUUUUCUCCAGAAAUGGCAGAGGCAAGUUUCUAUAUUGGAGUCGUAGGUAACACUCUUCUUCACUCGUGUGCUUACUGCUUAUACACGCGUGCCCAUAUAUUCGUCCUGGUAAAGACUCAAUAGACCUUACUUAGCAAUUAUUCUUUAACUACUUGUGUUGACGCAGGAAAUGUAAUCUCCGUACUCGUCUUCCUCUCACCAGUGGAGACAUUUUGGAAAAUAGUGAAGCGAAAAUCAACGGAGGAGUACAAAAGCUUGCCGUAUAUUUGCACGUUGUUAGGAUCGUCGCUAUGGACAUAUUACGGCAUCGUCACUCCCGGAGAAUAUCUUGUCUCCACCGUUAAUGGCUUUGGUGCUCUUGUUGAAAUCAUCUAUGUCUCCCUUUUUGUCUUAUACGCACCUCGACAUCUCAAGUUACACACAAUCGUGGUGGUAUCGAUGUUGAACGUCCUUUUCCCAAUCGCAGCGAUUGCGGCCACGAGAAGUGUUUUAAAGAUGAGAAAACGCGUUCUCAAUCGAUGGGUUUCAUAUGUGCUGGUCUCAACAUUAUAAUGUAUGGUUCUCCUCUUUCUGCUAUG